Long non-coding RNA from Anolis carolinensis (green anole), 7910 nucleotides. RefSeq lists it as uncharacterized. Lineage: Eukaryota; Metazoa; Chordata; Lepidosauria; Squamata; Anolidae. The record is from RefSeq and is a predicted model, not a curated record. The transcript is spliced from 2 exons.
AGGGUAAUAAGAAGACAAAACCGGUUUCAUUAUUCUGAUAACUCUUAGAACAGUGUUACAAAGCGCUGUGCUCUUGAACUUGCGAAUUUGUAUAGUCUAGUGGCCAAGUAAAUCCAUUGUGUAAGACUUUUAACAAAUAGGAACUUUUAGAUUUUUUAAAGGAUUUAUCUUUACAGAAUUGAAAAAUGCAGAUAAUCUGGGUGCUGAUCAUCUCCUAAAUUUCUAAAUUAUCUUUCAUCUUUGUUCCUUUCCUGAUCUUAGCCUUUUCUUUUCUUGGCCUCAUUGGCCUUUCCUGUUUGCUGAAGGAAGAAGAAGAACAAGUCUGGAUCUACAAAAAAAUACUCAAGUUCCAUUUUAUUCUUAAAUAGCUUUAAUGCAACAAGACAUUUAAAAGCUGCAGUUAGAUUAUUUCAAAAUAAGGCAUGCCCAUUUUAGUAUCCUUUAGUUCUUGUCUAGCUGUUACUGAUAUUAUAGAAUUCAGUUUUGAAACAAUUUUCUAAGCUCAUAUACUCACCUGUGCGUACUUAAGCAUUGUUCUGCAAAAUAUAUGGGGAGAAUCUGCCCUGAACUAUUACUGAUUUCUCAUACAACAGAAGCAAAUGUUUGAAAGUUUAGCAGAUGGAAUAGUGACCAAGGGGCUGGCUGUCAGACAUACAUCAAGUCAAAUGGAUUGCUUCAGCCUGUUCUCUCCUCCCAUUUUCUAGGUCUCUGGAACACUUUUCUAAAUCUUUAGGGAUUAAAUGAACCAAUAUCAGCAGGGAAUGUCUUAAGAAAUCUGGUGUCGCAGGCUGACUGUGGCAGACCAGAUUGCUUCUAUUGUUGCCCCAUGUAGGUGCCUGUCACAUGGUGCCAAUAGCUUUAACAAGAAAAAACACUGCAAUGUGUCACUUCGCCUCCUCCUCUAAAUGAUUCAUGCCAGCCUUGUUAAGGUGAUGUGGGCCUCAUUCUCAGAUAUCUGCGGUUUCCAUUAGAAAUUCUUUGAAAAUGGACUCCCCAGGACACCUUUAGAGGUAACUUCAAAGGGCCUCAUUAAUGAAUAUCAUGCCAUUUAUACAAGAGCUCCUAACAAUAGCAUUAGAAAAACCUGUGUUCUCCUUCUACUGUGGUGAAAUCAAUGUAUUAGCUCUAUAGCAAGACAGAAAACUAAAAAACAAUGCUGCUUUAACCAGAUGUUACUUGGUUAUGGUAGUUCAAUUAUCCUGUAGAUGUAAGAUUGUACUAAUCCAAUAGAUAAUUGUUAAGGAAUUCACCUAGAGAACAUCUGCAUUCUCCUGGAGUACAUGUAUAUGUGGGUGAGAGAGAAAAAGAGAGGACAUUUCCCAAAGUGCUUUGUAGAUAAACUUUCAGGUUAUAUUCUUAAAUUAUGUGAAAUACUACUUUAUUUUUAGAAUUUUGCUAUUCACAAAAUGAUAUUCAUAAAUCCUUUCACAAUAUAAACAUGGUGUUUAUAUAAAAAAUUUCACCACUCUUUUUUUGUGAGAAGUAGAAUAUCAAUCAAAUAAUCAUGGAAGCCAUUUUAUGUGUGCGUAGUAAGGUAAAUAGGUGCAGUGUGUCAUUUUGCCUUGGUCCAGUAUCCUCCUUUCUUACUGUUAUUAGCCAGAUACACUGGAAAACCCAAAGCCACACUUUAUAACUUACCGUAUUUCCUCACAUAAUAGUUGUCACCGCGUAAUAGUCACACACCCAUAUUUGAGGUCCCAAAAUUGGGGGUUUUGGGCUUUCAUUGAAUAAUAGUCACAUCCUUGAUUCAUUUUCUCUCUCGCCUGCCCGCCAGCUUGCCAUUCAAGCAUGGCGGUUUGCUUGCUCGUCAACCAGCUUGCCUUUCAGGCACGGUACUUCAUUCAUUCAGUCGGUCGCUCACCUGCCUACCUGCCCAUUGGCGUUUACCUUUCCGGCACAGCACUUCAUUAAGCUGCUCAUUCGCUUACCUGCCCAUUUACUUUUCAGGCAUAGUGCUUCCUGCGGCGAAUUCCAUGCUUUCAGUCUCAGCCACGAGAAAAGUGAGCCUGAAAGGCGAGCAACCAAGCGAACGAGCAAGUGAAUGAAAUGCCCUGUCAAGAAACACAAAAAUUAGCACAAAAAAAAACAGGAGCCGUGAUGGCACAAUGGGUUAAACCCUUAUGCAGUCUGGACUGCUGACCUGAAAGUUGGGUUGCUCACCUGAAGGUUUCCGGCUUGAAUCCGCAAGAUGGAGUGAGGUCCCGUCUGUCAGCUCUAGCUUGCAAGAAUAUGAGAGAAGCCUCCCAGCAGGAUGGUAACACAUUUGGGCGUCUCCUGGGCAACAUCUCUGUAGACAGCCAAUUCUCUCACACCAGAAACAACUUGCAGAAUGUUCAAUCUCAAGUUGCUUCUGACACGAUAAAAAAAGCAAUGUUGUAACCCACCUCAAGCCGUGAAGUGAGGAGGUAAGAAAUAAAAUUAUUAUUACUACUAUUAUUAUUAUUACUAUUAUUAUUAAAUUUCAACUUUGCCAGGGCACAAAACACUGGCAAUUAAGAUAAGUUGUGAGACCGGUUCUCCAGCAGCUAUGCAGAGAUUUCUGAUGUUCCUUUUAUUUGUUAUAACAGAUGCCACUUUUCUUUGCCGACAUGCCUGUGUGGAUGUAAUGGGCAAAUUAUGAAACACUUUAUUAAAAAAACUAGUUUGACCUGGCAGUAUCUUCAAAGAGAUAAUGCCUUUGAGGUAGGAAGAGAAAUAGAGGAUUGAACAACAACAACAAGUUUAUUUUGGUCAGUGACCAGCAUCAAAACAAACAGACAGCAAGGUAAAUGAAACGCAAGUCGAGGUAUCAAAAUACAACUUUCAAAAAUCAGAGCCAGGAAACAAUGCCAAGUGCAACAGUCAAAAAAUAGCACACAGCAUUUGCACAAUUGAAUAGCAGUGAGAAAAGGUUUUAAGACUGUGACAACAUCCUGUGCCGACAAGCUAUUGUCAGAGUACAAAAACUAGCAACUUUGGCUGUGGUUCCAGGAGAUUGGUCAGUCAAAAGUUAAUCAAUAUAAAAUCUUUCAGAUACCCCUGGUAUACUUUGCAAAACCGGGUUAAUUAAGUGUUACUGAAGAUCUUGAUAGAAAGACUGCAACAGGCUUAUUAUUAUUAGCAGAGCCGGCCCUAGGUAUUUUUCAAGUGUAGGCGAACAGAAUUUUGGCGCCCCCCAAACCAAUCACUGAAAAAUAAAAGCGUUGGAUAAGCGAAAAUGUUGGAUAAUAAGGAAGUAUAAAGGAAAAGCCUAUAAAACAUCAAAUUACAUUAUGAUUUUAAAAAUUAAGCACCAAAACAUCAUGUUUUACAACAAAUCAAUAGAAAAAGCAGUUCAAUACAUGGAAAUGUUAUGUAGGAAUUACUAUAUUUGCAAAUUUAGCACUAAACAUUGAACAGGGAUAUAGGGCAGUGUGGACUUAGAUAACCCAGAUAGCCCUCAGUAUUAAAAAAAAACCCUCUAAAAUCAGGACAAUAAAUAAAGAACAACACUCUGAAAACAGAAGAAAUCCAGACAAUAAACAAUCAGGGACAGCUAACUCCUCCCAAAAAAAGAUUCUCCCAGGCAAGAAGAAGCCAGGCCUUGAAGCCACAGGGCCAUUAAAUGCUAAUCAAGGUGAUUAAUUACAACAUUCACACCUGCUUCAAAGAAAAGUUCUUUCUCCCACCCUGGACCUUCUGCAGAUAUAUAAACCCCACAUACCUAGCUUCCAAGUUCCUACAGACCUCACAAUCUCUGAAGGCCCCAAAGGUGGGCUUGCGUGGUGCGAAGGUGGGUCUGCGCUGGCCGGAAGGCCCGAAAGAGAAGGAGGUGGAGAGUGGUGCCCUCCUCCCAGGACGAUGGUGCCCCCGGGACGAUGGCGCCACAGGCAAAUGCCUAUUUCGCCUUAUGGUUGGACCGCCUCUGAUUAUUAGUAUUAUUACUACUGUAUGACACAGCAAACAAGCUAGAUAUGCUGGAUUUCGUAUCACGAAAUCACAAGUCGAACACUUCCCAAGUGUCCGUGUGAUGUAUUUUCGGAUGAUGCCCGCAGACCCCAGUAGGGUGGCCUUUUGCAGUUGACAAAUUGUGAUUUUGUCAAUGUCUAUUGUUUCCAAAUGCCGGCUGAGAUCUUUUGCCACGGCACCCAGUGUGCCCAUCACUACCGGGACCACCUGCACUGGUUUCUGCCAGAGUCUUUGAAGUUUAAUCUUGAGGUCCUGAUAGCGGCUGAGUUUUUCCUGUUGUUUUUCGUCAGUGUCACCUGGGAUGGCAACAUCAAUGAUCCAAACCUUUUUCUCUUCCACAAGUGUGAUGUCUGGUGUGUUGUGUUCCAGAACUUUGUCAGUCUGGAUUCGGAAGUCUCACAGUAUCUUUGCAUGCUCAUUUUCCAAUACUUUUGCAGGUUUGUGAUCCCACCAGUUCUUUACUGCAGGAAGGUGGUACUUGAGGCAUAAGUUCCAAUGAAUCAUUUGGGCCACAUAGUUGUGCCUCUGUUUGUAGUCUGUCUGUGCAAUUAUUAUUAUUAUUAUUAUUAUUAUGCAUUUUUCUAUUAUUUUUGUAUUAUUUCUGUUAUGACUGGUUAUAACUUUAUCUACAGGGAGGGAAAAAUCAUUCUAGCUGGUAGGAGCAAAAGCAACAAAAAGGUAUCUCUCUAGUCCUAAUAUUCAAACUGAGCAGCAUAGAGAAGGAUAGCAGAUAGCAAAAUAGAGGUAUUCAUGUCACUGCAAAGGCAUAGGUUAGCAUGGUUGAGCCUGCACAUUUUGGGAGAGGCUGUGUUGGGUUUCUGAGGCGAAAAACCCUAAUUACUGUAACCUGCUAACUCUCCCACUCGCAGCAGGAGAUUUGAUUUUAAGGCUCUAACUUCCUCUUUCCUGUUUUGAAAUUUGAUCUGUCUACCUUGUCUUUAUUUGAUCAGCGUCGACUUCCAUGAAAUUUCCUGAAUGUUUCUGACAGAUAAGGUAAGGAGCUGUGCUGGUUUGAUCAAAGUAAAGCACUUCUCAAGAGAAAAUUAAAAUAUUACCUUAUAAAAGCUACCAGAUCAAAGCUAAACUCUUUGCAAAACCUCAGGCCAUUCAAGGGUUAGCAAAAUAGACAUGUUUUCCUUCAAAAUGUGGCUUUUAAAAUAUGAUGUAUUUUACUAGGAUGUAUUUUAAUAAUUAAUCAUAAUCUCAUUUUAAUAUUUUAUUAUUUAUCUCAAACUUCUUUGGUGGAAAGAUGGGGUAUACAUUUAAUACUGUCUAGAUGAUAGAUAGAUAGAUAGACAGACAGACAGACAGACAGACAGACAGACAGACAGACAGAUGAUAGGGUUUUGGAAGCAAACCCUAUUAUUAUAUCUAUUGUUUAGAGCUUUAGUAUUAUAUCUAUUGUUUAGAGCUUUAGUUUGUUAUGUAGUUUUAAAAAUGCAUUAAUAGCAAAUGAUUUCAUAGGAUCCCUUUUCUCAGUACAGUAUGUUUAAACUCAGCAGUUGAGCGAAUGCAAAUAUUAAAACCUGUCCAGUGUUUCAGUUUACUUUCAUAAUCAUUGUAUAACAAACAUCAAAAUGAAGAUCAAGGGGAAGAGAGUCCGUGGAAGUAGAUCUGUCUACCUUAGUCCAGACAAGGUGAAGGAACUUCUGGGCAAUAGAUGUUAAUGUGGGAUUUGUGUAUUGGUGGUGUUUAAAUGAAAUUUGUGUCUGGCAUGUGUUGCAUACAGGUUGCAUCAUCCAGAGUAUGCUAUAGUCUAUAAAGAGUUAAUGACUGAGAAGCUGUGUUGACCUUGAUGUGUGGCUGGAACCACACAUCAAGGUCACAUGGAAGGUUUGGGGAGUAUCCAGACUCAAGUGUGUUUGUACAUACUGAUUGUAUCAGUUGAGAUCUUGCUCUGUUCUGAGUUGGUGUCUGCCUAGAGUGAAAGCCAAGCCUGUGUUCGUCUGCAAAUUCUGUUUGUCUUGCAAAGUAAAGCUUUUGUAUAUAUUUUUUUAACAUCAUUUCUGACGUCUCUUCGUUCUGCGCUCCAUUGACAACAUACAACUGCUGCUACGUUGCGAAUUACUCUGACAAUAGAAAUGUUUGUCUAGGAUCUGACAGAACAGCCUCUUUGGGGUGUUGCGGCACUUCCCUCUGAAGAGUUAUGUUCACAGCUUGAGGAUGCUUCUAGGCUCAUUGCUCUUCAUUGAGAAUCAGAUAUCUUCUAUGGCCAAGAGAGUCUCUGUCCAGCUUGGACCGGUGUACCAGCUGUGCCCCUUUCUAAAGAAUGCCAGUUUGACCACAGUGACCUCUAAUACUUUUCUGCAACAUUAAGAGGCUUCUCCUGAUGUGUGACUCAGACAUUUUAGCAAGUGCAAGAUAUGGUGAUCAUGUAUGGCGCGAACAGGGGUUGACUCAUACUUUGUUCACUAAUUUACACUUCUUAUUUAUCAGUUUUAUUGGCUAUUCUUUUGUAUCUGGAUAUAAUUAAAGGCUAUAAAGCUCUAAUCACUUUUGGGACCAGGAUGUUUGAAAUACCAUAUUAUCCUAUAUGUAUCUGUCUGUAAUUUGAGCUCUUUCUGUACAGGAUAGCCUACGGUGUAACCAAGGAAGGAUAAGACGCUUCCUCUACUUGGACCACAGGGCACAAAGAACUGUCCUUAUGACCUUUUAAAAAAUGUUUUGGCUCUACGCUCUACUUUUCAAUUUUUCUUCUGCUCGUCAUCCUGAUGUUUGUGAUAUUAAAUAUCAUGUAAAAAUGAAAUUGAGUAUCAUUUUAAUUGGUUUUUUUAAUAAAAAGUUUUGUAAUUGUUUUAAUUUUAGGGAACCUUGUGGUCUCUAUUUGAAUGAAAAAAUAAGUCAUAUAUUUAGAAAUAAAAUACACAACUAAAUACAGAUCAAAAGACAACCUAUUAAAAUGGCACUACCUAGAAGAAUCCUCCACCUUGUGUGACUGUGAAGCAGAACAAACAACUCAGUAUCUGUAUGCUUGCCCACAAUGCCCUGCCUUAUGUACAGAGAAAGAAUUGUUGACAGCUACAGACAAUGCUGUUGUUUUUGCCUAUUUUUGGUCAAAAAUUAUUUAGCUGCUUGUGUUACCUCUAUUUUUAUCAGUUUUCUACUUAUUUAUGCAAUGCUUUUGACACAAAAUAAAUAACUCAAAUAUUCUCUUUAGGAAUCUCUAGGGACAUCAUCACAUCGUGGCGAAUCCAAUGGGGUCCAAUGGGGGCAGGGGAAACCCAUUGCUCCACACCCCAGAUCUCCCGGUUUGCCUCUCACCCCAUUUCACGGGGGAGGGGAGCAUCCACCAUCCGGCUUCCCCCGCUUUGUCUAUGUAACACUGAAAACCUCCCAUGUUGCCACCUUCUUCACUUCACGGAGUCCCACAGGAAAUAGAUCUAUGUCUUGGCAUGGGAGCCAGUGGGCUCCAGGCCACAAAUGAAGACGGAGCAUCAUACGAUGGUCAAUUUUCACCAUCUGAUGAGGUAGUAAGAGUCAUGCUGGAGGACCUAGAGAUUCCUAGAGAUAACACCUCUUUAGGAAUCUUUAGGUACUCCGGUAUGAUUCUGUGGCCAACAUCUGCUGGAAAUUAACCACAGAACCAUACUGGAGGACCUAGAGAUUCCUAGAGAGUUGUUAAUGCAGGUAAAAAUUAGAGUUUUUCAUCCUCAGUUCUUCCACUUUCAUGGGGUUCUGCACUUUUAACCACAGUUAAUAUGGAGGGUUAUGUCUUUGCAUAUCUGUCUUUCAGUAUUGGUUACCUUGCAUGUUUAUACUUUUGUUUUGUGUUUUCACAAGCAAGACAUGUGUUUCCCCAACCACAAGUCCCAUGAAUUUGUUUUCAGAGCAGAAAUGUCCCUUGAAAUUAAGAAAUCCCCCCCUCCUCAUACUAGGCAGUUGUCAGGCUCUUUUACUUCUUUUCUUGACUUCAUGUAAAGUUUGCCAUGUAGUAUUUAGCUUAAACAAGCCAAUAAUUGCUGAAUAAAGUUUGCAAAUGGAAA